This 315-nucleotide ribosomal RNA is filed under the name uncultured bacterium. Its description in RNAcentral is "bacterial SSU rRNA". It matches the Rfam family "Bacterial small subunit ribosomal RNA", at positions 28 to 334 of the family's 1533-position model. The record is from RNAcentral.
GAUGAACGCUGGCGGCGUGCCUAACACAUGCAAGUCGAACGGGGGCAGACGGAAACCUAGUGAAGUCUGUCCGAGUGGCGGACGGGGGAGUAACGCGUGGAUAACCUGCCGCAUGCAGGGGGAUACCGGCUGGAAACAGCCGCUAAUACCGCAUAAGCGCACGGUGCCGCAUGGCAGAGUGCGAAAAGGAGAAAUCCGGCAAGCGAUGGAUCCGCGUCCGAUUAGCCAGUUGGCGGGGUAAUGGCCCACCAAAGCGACGAUCGGUAGCCGGCCUGAGAGGGCGGACGGCCACAUUGGGACUGAGACACGGCCCAG